This 301-nucleotide ribosomal RNA is filed under the name uncultured bacterium. RNAcentral describes it as "partial 16S ribosomal RNA". It matches the Rfam family "Bacterial small subunit ribosomal RNA", at positions 509 to 807 of the family's 1533-position model. The record is from RNAcentral.
CAGCCGCCGCGGUAAUACAGAGGGUGCGAGCGUUAAUCGGAUUUACUGGGCGUAAAGCGUGCGUAGGCGGCUUUUUAAGUCGGAUGUGAAAUCCCUGAGCUUAACUUAGGAAUUGCAUUCGAUACUGGGAAGCUAGAGUAUGGGAGAGGAUGGUAGAAUUCCAGGUGUAGCGGUGAAAUGCGUAGAGAUCUGGAGGAAUACCGAUGUCGAAGGCAGCCAUCUGGCCUAAUACUGACGCUGAGGUACGAAAGCAUGGGGAGCAAACAGGAUUAGAUACCCGGGUAGUCCCUGUCUCUUAUAC